ACAGGGUGACAGGUGGUGCAUGGUUGUCGUCAGCUCGUGUCGUGAGAUGUUGGGUUAAGUCCCGCAACGAGCGCAACCCUCGCCUCUAGUUGCCAGCAUUCGGUUGGGCACUCUAGAGGGACUGCCGGCGACAAGUCGGAGGAAGGUGGGGAUGACGUCAAAUCAUCAUGCCCCUUAUGACCUGGGCUACACACGUGCUACAAUGGGCGGUACAAAGGGCUGCGAACCCGCGAGGGGGGAGCGAAUCCCAAAAAGCCGCUCUCAGUUCGGAUUGCAGGCUGCAACUCGCCUGCAUGAAGCCGGAAUCGCUAGUAACCGCGAAUCAGCAGGUCCGCGGUCCGAAUACGUUCCGGGCCUU
RNAcentral lists this ribosomal RNA (358 nucleotides) under uncultured Geobacillus sp. RNAcentral describes it as "bacterial SSU rRNA". It matches the Rfam family "Bacterial small subunit ribosomal RNA", at positions 1026 to 1382 of the family's 1533-position model. The record is from RNAcentral. Lineage: Bacteria; Bacillati; Bacillota; Bacilli; Caryophanales; Anoxybacillaceae.